RNAcentral lists this unclassified non-coding RNA (374 nucleotides) under uncultured bacterium. Its description in RNAcentral is "contains 16S-23S intergenic spacer region". The record is from RNAcentral.
UCCGAGUUGACCCCGGCAGUCUCCUACGAGUCCCCGGCAUUACCCGCUGGCAACAUGGAACGAGGGUUGCGCUCGUUGCGGGACUUAACCCAACAUCUCACGACACGAGCUGACGACAGCCAUGCACCACCUGUCACCGGCCCCGAAGGACCCCGCAUCUCUGCGAGAUUUCCGGCGAUGUCAAACCCAGGUAAGGUUCUUCGCGUUGCAUCGAAUUAAUCCACAUACUCCACCGCUUGUGCAGGCCCCCGUCAAUUUCUUUGAGGUUUAAUCUUGCGACCGUACUCCCCAGGCGGGAUGCUUAAUGCGUUAGCUGCGCCACUGAAGGGUAAACCCCCCAACGGCUAGCAUCCAUCGUUUACGGCGUGGACUAC